ACGGAAGGCAGCAGUGGGGGAUAUUGCACAAUGGGGGAAACCCUGAUGCAGCGACGCCGCGUGAGUGAAGAAGUAUUUCGGUAUGUAAAGCUCUAUCAGCAGGGAAGAUAAUGACGGUACCUGACUAAGAAGCCCCGGCUAACUACGUGCCAGCAGCCGCGGUAAUACGUAGGGGGCAAGCGUUAUCCGGAUUUACUGGGUGUAAAGGGAGCGUAGGCGGUCUUGCAAGUCAGAAGUGAAAGCCCGGGGCUCAACCCCGGGACGGCUUUUGAAACUGCCGGACUAGAUUUCAGGAGAGGUAAGCGGAAUUCCUAGUGUAGCGGUGAAAUGCGUAGAUAUUAGGAGGAACACCAGUGGCGAAGGCGGCUUACUGGACUGACAAUGACGCUGAGGCUCGAAAGCGUGGGGAGCAAACAGGAUUAGAUACCCUGGUA
RNAcentral lists this ribosomal RNA (434 nucleotides) under uncultured Coprococcus sp. Its description in RNAcentral is "partial 16S ribosomal RNA". It matches the Rfam family "Bacterial small subunit ribosomal RNA", at positions 341 to 792 of the family's 1533-position model. Lineage: Bacteria; Bacillati; Bacillota; Clostridia; Lachnospirales; Lachnospiraceae. The record is from RNAcentral.